Molecule: long non-coding RNA, 829 nt
Organism: Meriones unguiculatus (Mongolian gerbil)
Lineage: Eukaryota; Metazoa; Chordata; Mammalia; Rodentia; Muridae
Exons: 2
Source: RefSeq, a predicted model, not a curated record
GUUUGGCUUAGGGUGCCAGAGCGCAUCCCUCUCUGUUUGUCUCAUGAGAAGCCUCCUGCCCCUGGGUUUAACCUGGGAAGCCCCAGGUGUCUGAUGAGUUGGGGCAGCUAAAGGGAAAAUUCAGGAACCACAGCAAGGUUAGCCACACUGCAACUCGAGGCCCGUGCAGGACCAGUGGGCACACAGGUGCUAGAAGUAAAGAAAGAAAUUGAUGUGGGCAGUGCAAUGGGUUGUCCAAGGAGAACCGGUCUGCUCCAGACACUUGACGGCAGAGAGGUCAGCAAUCUGCCUCUUCCUAGGGUCAUAAUCUGUCUGAGGAUCAGGCACCCCAUUUUCUCUGGACAGUCGCCCUCCAGCCUUGAGGACCUGGGUUCCUGCAUUCUUGCCUCAUACAGAAUUCCCCAGAAGGCCAGAGCUUGUUACCCCUGCCACUUCACCAUCUCCUUCCGUUAUUAACGCCCAAAUCAGCACGCUCCGUGACAGGAUCAGCAACUCGCUAUGCUUUUGAAGAAUGUUUCCCUCGGACUAGGCAAGUCCAGCCUCUCCAAACACACUCAGCGAACUACAGGUUCCAUUGAGACCGGUAACCCAACCCAGACUAACGCCCUGGUGCACUUGGACAGCAUGCAGCCCCCGACGGUCCCUCGCUUCUCUCCAGGAAACACCGCAGCCAAGGAAGGCAGGGGCCCGAAUGGUGGGGUUUUGUUUUGUGUGUUCAGAGGCAAUGGUUUGUUUUGUUUUGCAGCUGCGGUGUCCUGUAACAGCGCAGAGAGUUUUCUCCUCGGUGUCAAAAAAAAAAAAAAAAAAAAAAAGGAAAACAAAAAUGAAA